RNAcentral lists this ribosomal RNA (402 nucleotides) under uncultured Bradyrhizobiaceae bacterium. RNAcentral's name for it is "partial 16S ribosomal RNA". It matches the Rfam family "Bacterial small subunit ribosomal RNA", at positions 355 to 774 of the family's 1533-position model. RNAcentral also lists the same sequence under 1 other name. Lineage: Bacteria; Pseudomonadati; Pseudomonadota; Alphaproteobacteria; Hyphomicrobiales; Nitrobacteraceae. The record is from RNAcentral.
UGGGGAAUAUUGGACAAUGGGCGCAAGCCUGAUCCAGCCAUGCCGCGUGAGUGAUGAAGGCCCUAGGGUUGUAAAGCUCUUUUAACGGGGAAGAUAAUGACGGUACCCGUAGAAUAAGCCCCGGCUAACUUCGUGCCAGCAGCCGCGGUAAUACGAAGGGGGCUAGCGUUGCUCGGAAUCACUGGGCGUAAAGGGUGCGUAGGUGGAUUUUUAAGUCAGGGGUGAAAUCCUGGAGCUCAACUCCAGAACUGCCUUUGAUACUGGGAAUCUUGAGUUCGGGAGAGGUGAGUGGAACUGCGAGUGUAGAGGUGAAAUUCGUAGAUAUUCGCAAGAACACCAGUGGCGAAGGCGGCUCACUGGCCCGAUACUGACACUGAGGCACGAAAGCGUGGGGAGCAAACA